GUAAGGAAUAUUGGACAAUGGACGCAAGUCUGAUCCAGCCAUGCCGCGUGAAGGAUUAAGGUCCUCUGGAUUGUAAACUUCUUUUAUAAGGGACGAAAAAAGGCUUUUCUAAGUCGUCUGACGGUACCUUAUGAAUAAGCACCGGCUAACUCUGUGCCAGCAGCCGCGGUAAUACGGAGGGUGCAAGCGUUAUCCGGAUUCACUGGGUUUAAAGGGUGCGUAGGCGGGCAGGUAAGUAAGUGGUGAAAUCCUAGAGCUUAACUCUAGAACUGCCAUUGAUACUAUCUGUCUUGAAUAUUGUGGAGGUAAGCGGAAUAUGUCAUGUAGCGGUGAAAUGCUUAGAUAUGACAUAGAACACCUAUUGCGAAGGCAGCUUACUACGCAUAUAUUGACGCUGAGGCACGAAAGCGUGGGGAGCAAACAGGAUUAGAAGCCCUAGUAGUCC
RNAcentral lists this ribosomal RNA (445 nucleotides) under uncultured bacterium. RNAcentral describes it as "partial 16S ribosomal RNA". It matches the Rfam family "Bacterial small subunit ribosomal RNA", at positions 354 to 796 of the family's 1533-position model. The record is from RNAcentral.